This 89-nucleotide non-coding RNA is filed under the name Microcebus murinus (gray mouse lemur). Lineage: Eukaryota; Metazoa; Chordata; Mammalia; Primates; Cheirogaleidae. The record is from RNAcentral.
UGGUGGUCCAGUGGUAGUGGAUUAUCAGAACUUACUAACAUUAGUCACUUAAGUUGGUAUACAACCCCCACUGCUAAAUUUGGCUCUAA